This is a non-coding RNA of Theobroma umbraticum, 2134 nucleotides long. NCBI's taxonomy places the organism in Eukaryota, Viridiplantae, Streptophyta, Magnoliopsida, Malvales, Malvaceae. The record is from RefSeq and is a predicted model, not a curated record.
CAAAAACAAAUAUGAAUCAUUUUCAUGAACUAAGGGUCAGAGUGGGUGCAAAGAGAUACGUGUCGUAUUCACCUAUCACCCAAAUCCCCCAAAUAAUUGGGUAUUGGUGCGCACCACAUUUCUCUUAAGAGAGCCUAUUGCUGAUCAAUUAUUGUGUCAAUUGGUCCGCACACGUGGUGGAGAACCCGGUGGCUUCCCCACUGUUAGCAUCUGGACAUCUCUGUGUUUGGAACUUCGAAGAAUGGAUUGGUUCCAUCCAAUUUAUGGGAUUCUAAACUUUCUUCCAGUUCCCAGACCAAUGAGAAUGUGACGUUAGCUCGUGUGCAACCAAGACCCUGUUUUUUUAUAUAAUGCUUUUUUCCUUUUGGUUUCCUUGGCUAAUAAGUGCCUGGACGUGGGUGACUAGAGUAUCUCAUUGUCCCCAAUUGCUAGACAAACUAGCAUAAAUGCAAAAGCCAGAUUGCACAUAUCCAGCCAAAUAUUUUCUGAUUUAUGUUCAAAGUUUCAUGAAGAGUUAGGGUAAAGAUGGAAAGCUGACGGGUGCCCUGCUUCAAAUGAUACUACCCAAACAAAAAAAAAAGACAACUAUAUUUAAAUAUUGGGUUUUGCUAAUGAGUAUGCUAAUGUAACUUUGGGUCUUAACUCCUAUCAAUCAGUUACCAACAAUUCAAUAAUUUACUCUGGGUCUUAGCUCGUUUUUCUUUGUUACUAACAGUUCAAAGUAAUGACAGUCUUGCAUCAAAUAAGACAAAAUGUCGCAAGUCAUCAAAGUACCAGACAACAAGCGUGACAAGGUCACAGGAAAAGGUGGGAAGAGCGAAAAGGGCAAAUGAAAGAGCAGCAUGAAGCCUUCUCUCAUCAGUUGGAAUUUAUGAGGUUGAUAAUUGGUUGUUCGUUACCACAACACAACUCCUUUUUCCAUUUAGUGAAAGCUUAUCUCUUUGAACCUUUUGACAUACAACAGAGAGAAAAAGAGACUAUACUACAAAUAGCCUAGUUCAUAUGGAUUUUAAUUUCUCUUCAAUUUGUUAAAACUAGUCACUAGUAACGUUGAAGAGAGACAAGCUGAAAUCAAGCUCAACUCCCGUUUUUUUUCCUCCUUUCUUUACGCCACCCCAUUUGUCUGAGGAUGGCCCAUCCUAUAGGUAAUUAUGUCCCCUGAUGAGUAUGAUGGAGAUUCGAUUUUCGCAAUUGCAUUCAAGCUUAACUUCAGGGCCUCAGCUAUGGCCUUAUAAUGGCAAAAGAGUAUGGUUUCCCAGGGUUAGAAAUUCAGGACGUCACUUGGGGGCAAAUGCAGUAAGUUAUUGUGCACCACUGCCUCAGAGAAACCAAAAUAUCAACAGAUAGUCUUUAGCUAACAAAGCAGUAACACUGUGGUCGCUAUGGCAAUGAACCUACCAAUCCAUCUGCUACAUUAUUGACUGAAAUCAUGAGGGAUCUUUAUCUCCAUUUUCUAAUAUCUGUUUCGCAGCAACACAACUCCUAUUCUGGAAUCUUAUCUCCUAAAUAAAUGACAUAGCAUCACAAGUCUCUCUCCCACAGUGAUGUUAGAUGUGAACAGCUGAUGCAAUAUGGUUUAGCCAAAGUAGCAUGUGUGUGCAUGUUGAUGUGCAUGCGUGUGUGUGUGUGUGUGCGUGAAAGAGAGGUAAAACAGAAAAAUAGUGAAAUCCAAUUCCCUGACAGAAGUAUCAUAAAUUAAGGAUAUAUGGACAUUUGACCUUUUAGACCAGCAUUCAAAUUUUAAGAUCAGCAAAACUCAGUAUCAUCUUUCAGGAAUAUGCUUCUAGAAACUACACCCACCAUUCAAAUUUUAAGAUUUUUCAAUAAUUACUUUUAAUUUCUACAAUGUUAUUUGAGCUCAUUAAUAUGACAAAUUACAAACAAUAAGAACAAAAUUAAAAAAAAAUCCUCUAAACAUAACAACAUAAAGUGGUUGACAAGUUCAAAGUAUUAACCUCGUCAACUCCAUCUAUGCUGUCAGAAAUGUCUGAGAAUAAAGCAGUCUACAUAGAGAGGAUAGUUUUUCCUGAUCAGGCCUUUGAUGCAUUUCCAGCAAGAACAGUCAACCAGUUCUCCGUCUUUCCAAACUAUGAACAAACAUCUUAAGCCUUCAAAGUCAGGAUGGCAACCAACC